AUUGAACGCUGGCGGCAGGCUUAACACAUGCAAGUCGAGCGGUAGCACAGGGGAGCUUGCUCCCUGGGUGACGAGCGGCGGACGGGUGUGUAAUGUCUGGGAAACUGCCUGAUGGAGGGGGAUAACUACUGGAAACGGUAGCUAAUACCGCAUAACGUCGCAAGACCAAAGAGGGGGACCUUCGGGCCUCUUGCCAUCAGAUGUGCCCAGAUGGGAUUAGCUAGUAGGUGGGGUAAUGGCUCACCUAGGCGACGAUCCCUAGCUGGUCUGAGAGGAUGACCAGCCACACUGGAACUGAGACACGGUCCAGACUCCUACGGGAGGCAGCAGUGGGGAAUAUUGCACAAUGGGCGCAAGCCUGAUGCAGCCAUGCCGCGUGUGUGAAGAAGGCCUUCGGGUUGUAAAGCACUUUCAGCGAGGAGGAAGGUGGUGAGCUUAAUACGUUCAUCAAUUGACGUUACUCGCAGAAGAAGCACCGGCUAACACCGUG
This 490-nucleotide ribosomal RNA is filed under the name uncultured bacterium. RNAcentral's name for it is "partial 16S ribosomal RNA". It matches the Rfam family "Bacterial small subunit ribosomal RNA", at positions 30 to 507 of the family's 1533-position model. The record is from RNAcentral.